AACGGUCUAUACCUGCGGUACCUGCGGAAGGAUCAUUAACAAAUCUUGAAGGUCACGGCUAACUAGAAGGCAGCUUCCCCUCGUGGGUGCUGUUCUUUAGUUAGUUGAGGCCACAUUGACUCGAGCGCUUCUCCUACGUGCGUGCCUUGUAUUAUAUACAGGGCGCGCUGUUGGUAAAGAUGCUCAGAGACACAUACACGCUUGUUUUGUUUGACUGAGUAAAUGGUGACAGAGUUGGUA
RNAcentral lists this unclassified non-coding RNA (240 nucleotides) under soil metagenome. RNAcentral's name for it is "partial contains 5.8S ribosomal RNA, internal transcribed spacer 2, and large subunit ribosomal RNA". The record is from RNAcentral.